Molecule: unclassified non-coding RNA, 684 nt
Filed under: Hyrtios proteus
Lineage: Eukaryota; Metazoa; Porifera; Demospongiae; Dictyoceratida; Thorectidae
Description: sequence contains ITS1, 5.8S rRNA gene, ITS2
Rfam family: 5.8S ribosomal RNA (bases 290-443)
Source: RNAcentral
CGUAGGUGAACCUGCGGAAGGAUCAUUAACAAAUCCUAGCCAUUGCUCUUUUGUGGAGCAACGGUAUAACACCGUGCACUGGCGACCGGAGAUGGGAGAUUGAAUCUCGGCUGGGCUCUUGGGAGGUGUGCAACCGGGAAUUAAAUUGGAUGGUGCACUUAAAUCAGCGGGAAUCACCUUGCGACCGCCCUCUGGGCCUCUCAUGAGUUCUCCCAUCUUUGGUUUUUUGUGACUUUUUAAGAAACUUGUAUUAAAUUUUGGUGUACAUGUUUGUUGAAAAAUAAUUGACAACUUCUGACGGUGGAUCUCUUGGCUCGUGCAUCGAUGAAGAACGCAGCAAGCUGCGAUACCUAGUGUGAAUUGCAGAAUUCAGUGAAUCAUCGAGUCUUUGAACGCAAAUGGCGCUCCCGGGUCUCCUCGGGAGCAGGUCUGUCCGAGCGUCUGCCUACCAAAUUCAUUGUCACAACACUGCACGUGUGGUGACAAGAUUGAGGAGCUGCGACAGCAUGUUGGUUGUAUCGCACUCCUUGAAAAACACGAGUCUGUGCAAGUAGACAAUGUGUGUGACAAGGCAGUCUCCGACGGGACAGUCGUCACAACGGUGUAGCAAGUUGUUUCGUUGUCUCUAUCGUCGUGUCUCUGUCCCUUGUCCGUGUUGAUCUGCCAGCCACAGCCUCAGGAAAC